RNAcentral lists this unclassified non-coding RNA (254 nucleotides) under uncultured fungus. Its description in RNAcentral is "partial contains small subunit ribosomal RNA, internal transcribed spacer 1, and 5.8S ribosomal RNA". The stretch from base 1 to 73 matches the Rfam family "Eukaryotic small subunit ribosomal RNA", at positions 1759 to 1831 of the family's 1831-position model. The record is from RNAcentral. Lineage: Eukaryota; Fungi.
ACAAACUUGGUCAUUUAGAGGAAGUAAAAGUCGUAACAAGGUUUCCGUAGGUGAACCUGCGGAAGGAUCAUUAGAGAAGUGAAAUGUCGCAAGAGCGACGAUAGUCUCCUGUGAACUUGGCGAUCGACCGACGCAAGUCGGGCGAUUGCUUUCAUAUAAACUCUGUGUUGUAAACCAGAAUGUUUUGUUAUUCGUAACAAAAUAUAACUUUCAGCAACGGAUCUCUUGGCUCCCACAUCGAUGAAGAACGCAGC